AUAUGAAGUCGGGCCUGCCCAGUGAAUUUUAAACGGCCGCGGUAUCCUAACUGUGCAAAGGUAGCAUAAUCAUUUGCCUUAUAAUUGAAGGCUGGAAUGAAUGGUUUGACAAGAAUAUAACUGUCUCUUAUUGAUUAUUUAGAAUUUUAUUUCUGAAUGAAAAAGUUCAGAUGCUAUUAAAAGACAAGAAGACCCUAUCGAGCUUUAGAAAAAUUAGUAGACUUAAUAAUAACAAAUAUAAAUAAAAGAAUAGCUAUUAAAUAUUUUGGUUGGGGCAACCUAGGAGUAAAUAAAGCCUCCUAUUAAAUUAUAAAGACAAACUUGUGUUGAUCCAAAGUUUUUGAUUAAAGGAAUUAGUUACCGUAGGGAUAACAGCAUUAUCUUUUUUAAGAGACCAUAUCGAAAAAAAGGUUUGUGACCUCGAUGUUGGACCAGAAUAUCCUAAAGAUGUAGAAGUCUUUAAGGGUUGGUCUGUUCGACCAUUAAAAUUCUA
RNAcentral lists this ribosomal RNA (493 nucleotides) under Conus infrenatus. RNAcentral's name for it is "partial 16S ribosomal RNA". It matches the Rfam family "Bacterial large subunit ribosomal RNA", at positions 1845 to 2598 of the family's 2925-position model. The record is from RNAcentral. Lineage: Eukaryota; Metazoa; Mollusca; Gastropoda; Neogastropoda; Conidae.